UACGGAGGAUGCAAGCGUUAUCCGGAUUCAUUGGGUUUAAAGGGUGCGUAGGCGGGUCUAUAAGUCAGUGGUGAAAUCCUGCGGCUUAACUGUAGAAUUGCCAUUGAUACUGUAGGUCUUGAGUGUAGUUGAGGUGGAUGGAAUGUGUAAUGUAGCGGUGAAAUGCGUAGAUAUUACACAGAACACCUAUUGCGUAGGCAGUUCACUAAACUAUUACUGACGCUGAGGCACGAAAGCGUGGGGAG
RNAcentral lists this ribosomal RNA (245 nucleotides) under uncultured bacterium. Its description in RNAcentral is "partial 16S ribosomal RNA". It matches the Rfam family "Bacterial small subunit ribosomal RNA", at positions 524 to 768 of the family's 1533-position model. The record is from RNAcentral.